Molecule: ribosomal RNA, 579 nt
Filed under: Schwanniomyces capriottii
Lineage: Eukaryota; Fungi; Ascomycota; Pichiomycetes; Serinales; Debaryomycetaceae
Description: eukaryotic LSU rRNA
Rfam family: 5.8S ribosomal RNA (bases 222-375)
Source: RNAcentral
UGAACCUGCGGAAGGAUCAUUACAGUAUUCUUUUUGCCAGCGCUUAAUUGCGCGGCGAAAAAACCUUACACACAGUGUUUUUUGUUAUUACAAGAACUUUUGCUUUGGUCUGGACUAGAAAUAGUUUGGGCCAGAGGUUUACUGAACUAAACUUCAAUAUUUAUAUUGAAUUGUUAUUUAUUUAAUUGUCAAUUUGUUGAUUAAAUUCAAAAAAUCUUCAAAACUUUCAACAACGGAUCUCUUGGUUCUCGCAUCGAUGAAGAACGCAGCGAAAUGCGAUAAGUAAUAUGAAUUGCAGAUUUUCGUGAAUCAUCGAAUCUUUGAACGCACAUUGCGCCCUCUGGUAUUCCAGAGGGCAUGCCUGUUUGAGCGUCAUUUCUCUCUCAAACCUUCGGGUUUGGUAUUGAGUGAUACUCUUAGUUGAACUAGGCGUUUGCUUGAAAUGUAUUGGCAUGAGUGGUACUGGAUAGUGCUAUAUGACUUUCAAUGUAUUAGGUUUAUCCAACUCGUUGAAUAGUUUAAUGGUAUAUUUCUCGGUAUUCUAGGCUCGGCCUUACAAUAUAACAAACAAGUUGACCU